RNAcentral lists this ribosomal RNA (440 nucleotides) under uncultured Clostridium sp. RNAcentral's name for it is "bacterial SSU rRNA". It matches the Rfam family "Bacterial small subunit ribosomal RNA", at positions 338 to 795 of the family's 1533-position model. The record is from RNAcentral. Lineage: Bacteria; Bacillati; Bacillota; Clostridia; Eubacteriales; Clostridiaceae.
CCUACGGGGGGCUGCAGUGGGGAAUAUUGGACAAUGGGGGAAACCCUGAUCCAGCGACGCCGCGUGAGUGAAGAAGUAUUUCGGUAUGUAAAGCUCUAUCAGCAGGGAAGAAAUUGACGGUACCUGACUAAGAAGCCCCGGCUAACUACGUGCCAGCAGCCGCGGUAAUACGUAGGGGGCAAGCGUUAUCCGGAUUUACUGGGUGUAAAGGGAGUGUAGACGGCUGUGCAAGUCUGAAGUGAAAGCCCGGGGCUCAACCCCGGUAUUGCUUUGGAAACUGUGUAGCUAGAGUGCAGGAGAGGUAAGUGGAAUUCCUAGUGUAGCGGUGAAAUGCGUAGAUAUUAGGAGGAACACCAGUGGCGAAGGCGGCUUACUGGACUGUAACUGACGUUGAGGCUCGAAAGCGUGGGGAGCAAACAGGAUUAGAUACCCCUGUAGUC